This 275-nucleotide ribosomal RNA is filed under the name uncultured bacterium. Its description in RNAcentral is "partial 16S ribosomal RNA". It matches the Rfam family "Bacterial small subunit ribosomal RNA", at positions 338 to 628 of the family's 1533-position model. The record is from RNAcentral.
CCUACGGGUGGCUGCAGUGGGGAAUUUUCCGCAAUGGGCGCAAGCCUGACGGAGCAAUACCGCGUGAGGGAGGAAGGCUUUUGGGUCGUAAACCUCUUUUCUCUGGGAAGAAGAUCUGACGGUACCAGAGGAAUCAGCAUCGGCUAACUCCGUGCCAGCAGCCGCGGUAAUACGGAGGAUGCAAGCGUUAUCCGGAAUUAUUGGGCGUAAAGCGUCCGCAGGUGGUGAAUCAAGUCUGCUGUUAAAGCGUGGAGCUUAACUCCAUAUCGGCAGUG